RNAcentral lists this transfer RNA (69 nucleotides) under Urocitellus parryii (Arctic ground squirrel). Its description in RNAcentral is "Spermophilus parryii (Arctic ground squirrel) tRNA". It matches the Rfam family "tRNA". From Rfam's summary of the family: Transfer RNA (tRNA) molecules are approximately 80 nucleotides in length. Lineage: Eukaryota; Metazoa; Chordata; Mammalia; Rodentia; Sciuridae. The record is from Rfam by way of RNAcentral. RNAcentral also lists the same sequence under 2 other names.
GGGGUUGUAGCUCAGUGGUAGAGUGCUUACCUCUCAUGUGAGAAGCACUGGGUUCAAUUCUCAGCACCA